Zalophus californianus (California sea lion) is the source of this 1387-nucleotide long non-coding RNA. RefSeq lists it as uncharacterized. The transcript is spliced from 3 exons. The record is from RefSeq and is a predicted model, not a curated record. Lineage: Eukaryota; Metazoa; Chordata; Mammalia; Carnivora; Otariidae.
CCUGGCGCCAGGCUGGAGGAGGACGGCGGAAGGAAGAGGCAGGCGGAGGAGGGGCCGAGUAUUCCAGGUAGAUGGAACAGCACGGCCAAAGGCCCAGAGGGGCUGCUUUGCUCUCAUGGGGCUAAAAGGACUCCCUCCUGGAUGCCAGGGCCCCUGUCCGUGCUCAGGCAGGCCCGGUGAAGGGGCUGUGGCCCUGCCGGGCAUGGAGAGAGAGCUGCUGGGGCAGUUGGUGCCGUCCCCCGCAAUGCAGAUGGACAGACAGACAUGCAGAGUUCGCCUUGUUUGACCAGAGUCAGCCCUGCUGCUUUCUGGAAGGGGCCCCCAGUGACGGAGUCUUGCCCUCUCUGGCUAGAAGAGGCAGAAUCUCUUUCCUCUCUGGCAAACCGAGCUCCUGAGCCAGACUGGUGGAGUGUGACCCCAUCUCCACGUGCCUCUACAGAUCUCCUGAAGGUUGAAUUUGGGGGCUUCUGGCAGAACGCAACUCCGAAGAAUGACAGCAAGCCUUACUGCUUGAGAGGAAAUGAAAACAUAACCAGAAAAGUCUUCCACAUCCUUCAAGGACUUGGUCCUCAGCUCUGGCUCACCCCACAUGCCCAGGACAGGCCGGAGACCAGCCCUGUGGGUCCUGGCCAUCCAUCACCAAGAUGCCUUCAAGAUAGACCUGGCCCUGGUGCUUCCGGAAUCCCACUUCUUGGCUUCACCCCGUCUAGAAAGUCUCUCUCUGUCUACCUCUCUGUCCCGAUCCCCAGCCAGUGCCUGGCCCAGGCCUUGUGUUGACCUGUGGCCAGGGUCACGUUUGCCUUGUCCUCCUGGUGGGCGCCCUUCUGAGCCCUUGGAGUCCUUUUCUGCAAACACACCUUUGUUCAUUUAUUCCCUAAACAAAGAUUUAUUGAGGACCCGCUCUGUGCCGGGCCCAGGAGCAGGUGCUGGGACCUGGGUAAGCAAUAUAGACCAACCUCCCUGGCCCGUGGGCUCACAUUCAGGAGGGCACUGCACCCAGGCCACGAAGAGGGGUUUUCAUACAGGUGUUGGGACUCCUUCUCUUCUCGGAAGCCCUGGGAUUCUCAUGAACACGAUUCCCCUCUUCCCAAGGGACCAGGUUUACAGAACAAAGGGCCUGAAGACAGAUGCCUGCCCUGGUCGGGCCACAAUAGGUUGCGUUAACCACUUACCCUGGGCAGAGGAUGUCUGCAGCCCCUAUGGUGACACAAGAGAGAAAUCUGCCCCGUGGCUUUUGUCUGAGGAAAGGAGGCCCGUUCAAGGGCCAGUGCUGGAGCAAAGUUUUCUGUGAUGAUGGAAAUGUUCUGAGUCUGCACCAUCCAGCACAUAACCCCCGACCAAAGGUGGCUGUUGAGCGCUUGCAAUGUGGCUAUUGUGCCUAAGGAAU